Non-coding RNA from Trichodelitschia bisporula, 91 nucleotides. Lineage: Eukaryota; Fungi; Ascomycota; Dothideomycetes; Phaeotrichales; Phaeotrichaceae. The record is from the annotation of a GenBank genome assembly.
GGUUCUGUGGUGUAGCUGGUUAUCACACUUGUCUAACAUUCUUCCAAUGUUUGGACACAAGUGGUCCCCGGUUCGAGCCCGGGCAGAAUCA